Long non-coding RNA from Gadus morhua (Atlantic cod), 337 nucleotides. RefSeq lists it as uncharacterized. Lineage: Eukaryota; Metazoa; Chordata; Actinopteri; Gadiformes; Gadidae. The transcript is spliced from 4 exons. The record is from RefSeq and is a predicted model, not a curated record.
GUGUGUGUGUGUGUGUGUGUGUGUGUGUGUGUGUGUGUGUGUGUGUGUGUGUGUGUGUGUGUGUGUGUGUGUGUGUGUGUGUGUGUGUGUGUGCGCGCGUGUGUGUGCGUGUGUGUGCCUCAGGGGGCAGCUGGAUCAGACAAUGCGGAGGUGGGACCAAAAGGAGAACCAGGAAACGCUGGUAUGCCGGGCAGUCCAGGGGAGGAUGGCGCCAAAAGGGAGAGUGGAAUCGAGGAAAACAGGGGACCCAAAGGAAGACGAGGACCCAUGGGAGAAAAUGUCUGAACAUUGCAGUUGAUGGUGGUUGACACGGUUUGUGUGUCGCCAUUCAAACAGG